AUUGAACGCUGGCGGCAGGCCUAACACAUGCAAGUCGAGCGGCAGCGGAAAAGUAGCUUGCUACUUUUGCCGGCGAGCGGCGGACGGGUGAGUAAUGCCUGGGAAACUGCCCGAUGGAGGGGGAUAACUACUGGAAACGGUAGCUAAUACCGCAUAACGUCGCAAGACCAAAGUGGGGGACCUUCGGGCCUCACACCAUCGGAUGUGCCCAGAUGGGAUUAGCUAGUAGGUGGGGUAACGGCUCACCUAGGCGACGAUCCCUAGCUGGUCUGAGGGGAUGACCAGCCACACUGGAACUGAGACACGGUCCAGACUCCUACGGGAGGCAGCAGUGGGGAAGAUUGCACAAUGGGCGCAAGCCUGAUGCAGCCAUGCCGCGUGUAUGAAGAAGGCCUUCGGGUUGUAAAGUACUUUCAGCGAGGAGGAAGGCAUUAAGGUUAAUAACCUUAGUGAUUGACGUUACUCGCAGAAGAAGCACCGGCUAACUCCGUGCCAGCCGCCGCGGUAA
This 508-nucleotide ribosomal RNA is filed under the name uncultured bacterium. RNAcentral's name for it is "partial 16S ribosomal RNA". It matches the Rfam family "Bacterial small subunit ribosomal RNA", at positions 30 to 523 of the family's 1533-position model. The record is from RNAcentral.